This 1138-nucleotide long non-coding RNA is filed under the name Chloebia gouldiae (Gouldian finch). RNAcentral's name for it is "Erythrura gouldiae (Gouldian finch) lncRNA (ENSEGOG00005017133.1)". Lineage: Eukaryota; Metazoa; Chordata; Aves; Passeriformes; Passeridae. The record is from RNAcentral.
CUGUCUGUCCCUGUCCUGGGGGGUCCCUGCCGUGAGCCCCAGCCCCGGGGGGGCUGAGCCCCCCAAACCUCCCCCAGACCCUCUGAAGGGCCCCACCCCCAACUCCCAGCGGCGAUUCCCUCCCCACCGCAGACACAACACCGGGGAAUUGUCCGGGAUGCUUUAUUGGAGGGAGGGGACAGCCCGCGGUCACUUCUUGGCCUCCUCCUCCUUGGAGAGGGUUUUGAUGAUCUCCUCCUUCUUGGCCUGCAGCCGCUCCUCCCGGCGCUUCCGCGCCUCCUUGGUCUUGGAGCGCCGCGCCUCCGCCUGGUCCCUGCGGGGCCGGGGCCGUGAGGAGGGCCCGGGGCAGCCGCGGCCCGCCCCGAGCUCUGCCCCGAGCUCUGCCCCGGCCCGCCCCGAGCUCUGCCCCGGCCCGCCCCGAGCUCUGCCCCGACCGGCCCCGAGCUCUGCCCCGGCCCGCCCCGAGCUCUGCCCCGAGCUCUGCCCCGGGCCGCCCCGAGCUCUGCCCCGGGCCCGGGGCACGGCUGAGCCACCCCAGCCCUGGGAUUUCCCAGUCCCCACCUCACUCAGGGAUUUCCGGGAUUUCCCAGUUCCCACCUCACUCAGGGAUUUCCCAUUUCCCACCUCACUCAGGGAUUUCUGGGAUUUCCCAGUUCCCACCUCACUCAGGGAUUUCUGGGAUUUCUCAUCUCCCACCUCAGUCAGGGAUUUCCGGGCUUUCCCAUCUCCCACCUCAGUCAGGGAUUUCUGGGAUUUCCCAUUUCCCAUUUCCCAGUUCCCACCUCAGUCAGGGAUUUCCCAGCCCCACCUCAGUGGGGAUUUCUGGGAUUUGGGAUCUCCCACCUCACUCAGGGAUUUCCCAUUUCCCAUUUCCCACCUCACUCAGGGAUUUCCCAUUUCCAAUUUCCCACCUCACUCAGGGAUUUCCCAGUCCCCACCUCACUCAGGGAUUUCCCAUCUCCCACCUUACUCAGGGAUUUCCCAUUUCCCAUCUCCCACCUCACUCAGGGAUUUCCCAUUUCCCACCUCACUCAGGGAUUUCCCGGCCCCACCUCAGUGGGGAUUUCUGGGAUUUGGGAUCUCCCAGCUCCCAGCAGGUUUCCCUGGUGCAGAGCCCCCCUGCAGCAGCACUUACGCC